GACGAACGCUGGCGGCGUGCUUAACACAUGCAAGUCGAGCGGUAAGGCCCUUUCGGGGGUACACGAGCGGCGAACGGGUGAGUAACACGUGGGUGACCUGCCCUCAGCUCUGGGAUAAGCCUGGGAAACCGGGUCUAAUACUGGAUAUGACUCCACGACGCAUGUUGUGGGGUGGAAAGCCUUGUGCGGCUGAGGAUGGGCCCGCGGCCUAUCAGCUUGUUGGUGGGGUGAUGGCCUACCAAGGCGACGACGGGUAGCCGGCCUGAGAGGGCGACCGGCCACACUGGGACUGAGACACGGCCCAGACUCCUACGGGAGGCAGCAGUGGGGAAUCUUGCGCAAUGGGCGAAAGCCUGACGCAGCGACGCCGCGUGAGGGAUGACGGCCUGUGUAAC
This 395-nucleotide ribosomal RNA is filed under the name uncultured bacterium. RNAcentral describes it as "bacterial SSU rRNA". It matches the Rfam family "Bacterial small subunit ribosomal RNA", at positions 28 to 429 of the family's 1533-position model. The record is from RNAcentral.